CGGCCCGCGCCUCCCGCCUGCCCGGGUCCCCCCGGACCGCAGCAGCAGCCUCCGGGGCCUUCGCCGCUCCUCCCAGCCCCGCCGCCCUCCGCGGCCCCGCUGCGAGCAGCGCUCUGCUCCGCGGCCUGCGUGGCGGUGACGGGGCGAGGCGGCGCUGGACGCGGCACUGCCGCCGCCGCUGCCCGUCUCCCUCCCCGGUGGGUGCCUGGGAUGGCUCUCGUGUCCACCCGGCACCCGUGGGGUGGCCACGGCCUCCGCCCUACAGAUGCUCCGUGGCCACCCAAGCGGUCCCGCACCCUCAGCCGGGGGUGCCAGGGGCCUGGGGUCACCGAGAUGCUCGGGGGCUGCCGGGACACGGGCCGUGACAUUUCCCGGCCGCUGCGGUCAAGGGACCGGGGCCAGCCUGGCCGCCAGGACCGGGUGCUCCCGUGCCCCCCGGGUCCCGAUGGACGUCUCCGGGUGGGGAGGACACAGCGCCCUUUGUUGCUGCCGGUCCCGACGGCAGGGACCAGGCUCCGCGUCCCUCCCUCCACCCCCGCCCUCGGGACUGGCACCCGUCAGCGAUUUGGGGUUUAAAGAGCGGGCGGCAGCCGCUGCCCCAGCCCAAAGCAUCCCGGGCGAGGAGGCGGAGGUGAGACAACGGCUGUGGGGCUGCGCCGGGGGCCAGGGAGGCUGGGGGGCAGGCUCUGCAAGCACUGCAGUUUCGGGGGGCUUCAGAGCACCCCUGGGUGCUGGCUUGGGGACAGAGGCUCAGCCCCACACCGGGGCAAGCCCAAGCAGCAGUGGGGCACCGGGCCGGGACAAGGCCCCGUUGUGCCGCUGCGGCCACCACAGUGCCCAUCAAUGGCCGCUUUAUGCGCGGUGGCCGCCCGGCCCAGCCGUCCCCGCCGCAGUGGCGCUGUGCGAGGCCCACGGGGAGCCACCCGGUCCCGCAGGGACAGGGUGGCCGCGGCCGGGCCUGGGGUGGGGGACGAGCGAGCAGGUAGUGAGGGGCUGACGUUAGCGUGGGGCUGCGGGAGUGGGCAAAGGGCCUGUGCGUUUCCCCGGCUGUGUGGGGGCUCGGUGGGUCGGGACCCAA
Molecule: long non-coding RNA, 1078 nt
Filed under: Anser brachyrhynchus (Pink-footed goose)
Lineage: Eukaryota; Metazoa; Chordata; Aves; Anseriformes; Anatidae
Description: lncRNA (ENSABRG00000013446.1)
Source: RNAcentral